This is a long non-coding RNA of Globicephala melas (long-finned pilot whale), 1251 nucleotides long. RefSeq lists it as uncharacterized. NCBI's taxonomy places the organism in Eukaryota, Metazoa, Chordata, Mammalia, Artiodactyla, Delphinidae. The record is from RefSeq and is a predicted model, not a curated record.
AGACCUUCCAGAUUCAAGAUAUCAAGUGGAUGAACAGGCGGGAGAGUCAGGUGGAAGAAGGAAUUGAAACACAGGAAAAGUAAUGGAUUGACCUAAAGUGAAGAAGUCAGCUGGGGUCUCUGCUCACCAGUCAUUCAAGGAACCGGCCUGACAAGGCAGCCACCACCUCCAACCCUGAAGGUCUCCCAGGAUCAGGGAAGAAAGAGACACGGAGUGCUCGCUCCAGCAGUUCAACACUUAACCCAGGAGGGUCACACAUCGCUUCCACUCCCUGUGCAUUGUCCACGACAAGUUCAUGGUCCCACCGCCCACGGAGGGACCUGGCAGUGUGUCCACUAUGAUGACCACACGUGGAGACUAAGACAAGACCCAUUGCCACACGAGGCAGAAUGGGGCGGAUGGUAAGCUGUGUGCCACCGUUAAAGGGGAGGGAAAUAAUUUCCAUUUGUGGGCUCAGGAAAUGCUUUGUGGAUGAAGGAUGGACUUUUUGAGAUGAGUGAGACUGCAGUAGGCAAAGAUUGGGUGUAGGGUGGGAUGAAAACCUAGACUGAAGGAAGAUUGAGAGCAGGGGUUCAGGGUGGGCAAGAAGCCUGCCACUGAGGGAAUAAUACAACACAGGGUUCCCGCGGGUGCAUAGGAAGGACGAGGUGGGAGGCUGGACUGAGUCCGCAUGGAGAAAUCUGUUGUCAGUUGGGUGGCCUGUGGAAGGUCCUGGAGGCGGCGGCUGGGACAUGAUCAAACCUGUGCUGUGGCUAGUUUCUUGGGACAGCGGCACAGAGGGACUUGAACUUACGACGUCAGGGGCAGGUGCGAGGCUAUUGCAGUACCUUAGGUGAGAGAGCAGGGGCCUGGGCCGGGGGAGCCGAUGAGGGGAGGGGUCUGAGACAUAAGGUGGACACCCCCAGAACCCUGGAAUCUGACUUGUUAUGGGGCUAGAUAAUCAAAUGUAAUCAGAGGGAGUGGGUGAAGGAAAGAACAUGCCCUGAUUUCAAGCCUGCAUGAGGCUCUUGGAUGGAUCAACGGCACUUCCCAAGAACCCCGGGGCUGUGUCUAAAGGAAGAUCAAGCCAAGUGUUGCUUCCACAGAAGACAGUGAAUGUGCUCCUGGUCCCACAGAUGCUGAUGUGGGCAAGAGCUUCCUGCUAAACCUAUUAAAUAUUUUCUUCUCCCAGGAACAUUUGAAUUAACUCAUAAUUUAUUUACUAAGUGUGCUGUAGAACUUGUGUGCUAACACUCAUACAUUGACACUGAC